RNAcentral lists this ribosomal RNA (497 nucleotides) under uncultured bacterium. Its description in RNAcentral is "partial 16S ribosomal RNA". It matches the Rfam family "Bacterial small subunit ribosomal RNA", at positions 28 to 507 of the family's 1533-position model. The record is from RNAcentral.
GAUGAACGCUGGCGGCGUGCCUAAUACAUGCAAGUCGAGCGAACAGACGAGGAGCUUGCUCCUCUGACGUUAGCGGCGGACGGGUGAGUAACACGUGGAUAACCUACCUAUAAGACUGGGAUAAUUUCGGGAAACCGGAUCUAAUACCGGAUAAUAUAUUGAACCGCAUGGUUCAAUAGUGAAAGUCGGUUUUGCUGUCACUUAUAGAUGGAUCCGCGCCGCAUUAGCUAGUUGGUAAGGUAACGGCUUACCAAGGCAACGAUGCGUAGCCGACCUGAGAGGGUGGUCGGCCACCUGGGAACGGAGACAGGGACCAGACGCCUACGGGAGGCAGCAGUCGGGAAUCUUCCGCAAUGGGGGAAAGCCUGACGGAGCAACGCCGCGUGAGUGAUGAAGGUGUUCGGAUCGGAAAACUCUGUUAUUAGGGAAGAACAAAUGUGUAAGUAACUAUGCACGUCUUGACGGUACCUAAUCAGAAAGCCACGGCUAACUACGUG